Molecule: ribosomal RNA, 440 nt
Filed under: uncultured bacterium
Lineage: Bacteria
Description: bacterial SSU rRNA
Rfam family: Bacterial small subunit ribosomal RNA
Source: RNAcentral
CCUACGGGUGGCUGCAGUAACGAAUCUUCCGCAAUGCACGAAAGUGUGACGGAGCGACGCCGCGUGUGGGACGAAGUUCUUCGGAAUGUAAACCACUGUCAGGGGAAAGAAAGUUCUGAUCUACCCCAGAGGAAGAGGCGGCUAACUCUGUGCCAGCAGCCGCGGUAAUACAGAGGCCUCAAGCGUUAGGCGGAAUCACUGGGCUUAAAGCGUGUGUAGGCGGACUUCUAAGUACCUUGUGAAAUCCCACGGCUUAACCGUGGAACGGCUUGGUAUACUGGUCGUCUUGAGCCACUUAGGGGCUACCGGAACAGAUGGUGGAGCGGUGAAAUGCGUAGAUAUCAUCUGGAACGCCAAUGGUGAAAACAGGUAGCUGGGAGUGUGCUGACGCUGAGACACGAAAGCCAGGGGAGCGAACGGGAUUAGAUACCCUAGUAGUC